Acanthosepion pharaonis is the source of this 99-nucleotide non-coding RNA. The record is from the annotation of a GenBank genome assembly. NCBI's taxonomy places the organism in Eukaryota, Metazoa, Mollusca, Cephalopoda, Sepiida, Sepiidae.
GUUGAAACACCAGAUCCCAUACAGUCACCAAAGUUAAGCAAUAUUGAGCCUGGUCAGUACAUAUAUGGGUGACCAGUUGGAAAUCUUGAGUGCUGUAAG